Long non-coding RNA from Lactuca sativa (garden lettuce), 502 nucleotides. RefSeq lists it as uncharacterized. NCBI's taxonomy places the organism in Eukaryota, Viridiplantae, Streptophyta, Magnoliopsida, Asterales, Asteraceae. The record is from RefSeq and is a predicted model, not a curated record.
UAACAAAAUAAUUAAUAAAUUAUAUAUUAAUUUUUUCCAUUAGUUUAGGUAACAAAUCACUCAUUCCAAAUUUAUCUCAUUGUUUCUCUCUCUUCUCAAGGAUGGGUGAUUCAUGUGUGAACGUCAAAGCUUUUGGAAUGACUUCUUCAAGAGAAUAUCAUUUUCUUUCAUUGCAGCCUUGUUGUAGGAUUCUUGCGAUAAACAGCAGGCCAUGGAGGCCAGGUGACGAUCAUUUCUAAUUUUUGCAUAUCCUGCACUAGCAAGAACCCUAAGUUAAAGGAGAUCAAACCAUGGUUUGUAUUCGGGGUUAAUGGCGCAAGAAUUGGUACCCAGUUUUCAAAAGAGGAGCUCGGGGAGAUUGCAGUGCACACACCAUAGUCAGUUAGCCUGGGAAUGUUUGACUCUGAUAAUGAUAUUAUGUUUUGAAUUAAUACUCGAGAAAUUAUGUUAUGACUUAUGAUACAGUUUUAUAAAUAUGAUUUUAGUAAUGUUUUUAAAGAAA